This 1599-nucleotide ribosomal RNA is filed under the name Bactrodesmium diversum. RNAcentral describes it as "SSU rRNA". It matches the Rfam family "Eukaryotic small subunit ribosomal RNA", at positions 153 to 1786 of the family's 1831-position model. Lineage: Eukaryota; Fungi; Ascomycota. The record is from RNAcentral.
UAAUUCUAGAGCUAAUACAUGCUAAAAGCCCCGACUUCGGAAGGGGCGUAUUUAUCAGAAUCAGAACCAAUGCCCUUCGGGGCUCCCUGGUGGCUCAUGAUAACUCCACAGAUCGCAUGGCCUUGCGCCGGCGAUGGCUCAUUCAAAUUUCUUCCCUAUCAACUUUCGACGGUACGGUCUUGGCCUACCGUGGUUGCAACGGGUGACGGAGGGUUAGGGCUCGACCCCGGAGAGGGAGCCUGAGAAACGGCUACCACAUCCAAGGAAGGCAGCAGGCGCGCAAAUUAUCCAAUCCCGACUCGGGGAGAUAGUGACAAUAAAUACCGAUACAGGGCUCUUUUGGGCCCCGUAAUUGGAAUGAGUACAAUUUAAACCUCUUAACGAGGAACAAUUGGAGGGCAAGUCUGGUGCCAGCAGCCGCGGUAAUUCCAGCUCCAAUAGCGUAUAUUAAAGUUGUUGUGGUUAAAAAGCUCGUAGUCGAACCUCGAGCCCGGCCGGCCGGUCCGCCUCACCGCGUGCACUGGUCUGGCCGAGCUCUUCCCUCUGCGGAACCUCAUGUCCUUAACUGGGCGUGCUGGGGAGGCAGGACUUUUACUUUGAAAAAAUUAGAGUGCUCAAGGCAGGCCAAUGCUCGGAUACAUUAGCAUGGAAUAAUAGAAUAGGACGUUGGUUCUAUUUUGUUGGUUUCUAGGACCGCCGUAAUGAUCAAUAGGGACGGUCGGGGGCAUCAGUAUUCAGCCGCGAGAGGUGAAAUUCUUAGACCGGCUGAAGACUAACUACUGCGAAAGCAUUUGCCAAGGACGUUUUCGCUGAUCAGGAACGAAAGUUAGGGGAUCGAAGACGAUCAGAUACCGUCGUAGUCUUAACCAUAAACGGUGCCGACUUGGGAUCGGGCGCUGUUCUCUCUAGACGCGCUCGGCACCAUUCGAGAAAUCAAAGUGCGUGGGCUCCAGGGGGAGUAUGGCGGCAACGCUGAAACUUAAAGAAAUUGACGGAAGGGCACCACCAGGGGUGGAACCUGCGGCUUAAUUUGACUCAACACGGGGAAACUCACCAGGUCCGGACACAAUGAGGAUUGACAGAUUGAGAGCUCUUUCUUGAUUUUGUGGGUGGUGGUGCAUGGCCGUUCUUAGUUGGUGGGGUGACUUGUCUGCCUAAUCGCGAUAACGAACGAGACCUUGACUGCUAAAUAGCACGCGCCGCCUCGGCGGUGUCGCGGCUUCUUAGUGGGACUAUCGGCUCAAGCCGAUGGAAGUUCGAGGCAAUAACAGGUCUGUGAUGCCCUUAGAUGUCCUGGGCCGCACGCGCGUGACACUGACAGAGCCAGCGAGUUCUUCCCUUGGCCGGAAGGCCCGGGUAAUCUUGUGAAACUCCGUCGUGAUGGGGAUAGAGCAUUGCAAUUGUUGCUCUUCAACGAGGAAUCCCUAGUAAGCGCAAGUCAUCAGCUUGCGUUGAUUACGUCCCUGCCCUUUGUACACACCGCCCGUCGCUACUACCGAUUGAAUGGCUCAGUGAGGUUUUCGGACUGGCCCAGGAAGGCGGGAGACUGCUAUCCAGGGCCGGAAAGUUGCCCAAACUCGGUCAUUUAGAGGAAGUAAA